This 911-nucleotide long non-coding RNA is filed under the name Mus pahari (shrew mouse). RNAcentral's name for it is "lncRNA (MGP_PahariEiJ_G0005960.1)". Lineage: Eukaryota; Metazoa; Chordata; Mammalia; Rodentia; Muridae. The record is from RNAcentral.
UGUCUUUGAACUCCACUCCCAGGCUCAGGUCUCCAGUUUCUUGUUUAACGUCCUAAUUAGAAGAAAGUCUUGAGAGGAGUUUUGUCCUGACUGAACAGAUUUUUGACCAGUUAUCAAGGCAUGUCUUGGCUUCAUCCUUAUACUCCUGCAACAUGGCUCCCAUGUGAGACAAGGCUGUGACCUGGAUAGAUACCAAACUGGCUCAAAAAAAUUGUGUAACUUCUAUGUGAUUCUCCACUUGAGAUUCACAACUAAUAACAAGGGUCUUCUUUCCUCUGGUAGAGCAGGUCAACAUAUCUAUCUCAGGGAAACUGGCAUGUCAAUGUCACCCAAUGGGAUUGCUAGGGGAGAAAAGCCUGCUGACGCCUUUCUAUGAGUGGGAAGCUUAAACAAUAGGUCUAAGACCCCAGCCUAAGGUGGUGGCACCCACUUUAAGGCUAUGUCUUCUCAGCUCAAUGAACAUAAUCAAGAUAGCUUGAACGCUUAGAAGAUCACCUGAGUGCCUGCACCAAAUCCUGUGUCUGUCUUAUGUUGAAUGGAGCAUCGGGGCUCCUUCCUUGGUUAAGAUGAUUGAGCAGAAAGGAUCCAUUCACAGUUUCAGCAGCAUUUCUGGAAUAGCUAUGUGAAGGAACACUGCAAAAAGCUGGAAUUCCAGGUAGUAUAGCAGCUUGGGGCAUAGACAGAAUAUGGUGAAGUGGAUUCUGUCCAAGAGGAGAGAGUGGGGCCUUCAGGAAAAACAGGUCCCUAUUCAGGGAAGUGGAAGCUUUUGAAGCGUCUCUGGAUUGCCCAUUAAGCAGCACUCUAAAAGGUUGACUGAUUUCUUGCCCCAUGGAAACUCUUCAUGAUGAAGGGUUAAUGCAGGACUUUUAAAAAAGUCCCUCCCGUUUCCAAAAUGAACAGUUUGUCUUGAA